Harmonia axyridis is the source of this 344-nucleotide long non-coding RNA. RefSeq lists it as uncharacterized. The record is from RefSeq and is a predicted model, not a curated record. The transcript is spliced from 2 exons. Lineage: Eukaryota; Metazoa; Arthropoda; Insecta; Coleoptera; Coccinellidae.
GGAGUAAGGGUUCCAGAGCACCUGUUUUUUCUUUACCUAAACCUUCACCGGGCUUCCAACCCAUUUUUUGGAGUAAAUGCAUUCCCAUACCGCCAGAAACAGGAGCGGCAACUUGUAGUUGAUCCUAAGAUAUUUCGAUGACACAACACACAGGAAAGAAAUUGCCAAAAUUUUCACGGGAAGAACAAACUUGGGGAAAAUAUAGAAGAAUCUAGAUCAAUUUUGUUGGACUUGUGAUUUAUAAUUUCACCAAAUUAUUUAAAUAUAAAGUUUUAACUCGAAGCUUUAUUUCGAAUAUAUUUUAUAGUUCAAAAAUUAAAUUGCAAUAAAUGCAUAAUACUUUA